This 439-nucleotide unclassified non-coding RNA is filed under the name Hevea brasiliensis (rubber tree). The record is from RNAcentral. Lineage: Eukaryota; Viridiplantae; Streptophyta; Magnoliopsida; Malpighiales; Euphorbiaceae.
GUUGGGCAUUUUCAAGCGUAGCUCUAGUGCAGGGUAUUAACAAAAUCAAAACAACAGAAUUAGUGUCUCUACCCAAGCAGGAGGUAGUUGUAAACUUGUAAUGGAGGAUUAAUGGAAGAGGCAUUCAAGUUUAUUGGGAAUGGCAAUCUAGAGGAAAAUGAAGAAAAAGAAAGAGAUUGAGAAAAUGGGAGAUUUUUAUAUGGAUUAAUGGUUUUUAUUGUUUGGAAGGGGGCGAACACAUUUGGGGAAAAAAAUUAAAUCUCUCUUUUUGACCACUGAUUUCUCGUUGACUUGAUAGAAUCAAAAGAGUGGGACUAAAAAGGCAUUUUUGAAAACUCAGAGGUGGAAAUGUUAAUUUUGAUAUAACCCAGUGACAAAAAAGUAAUUUACCCAAAAAAUUACCAAGGCAAUUUGUUUCUCCCAUUAUUUCUCACUUCUU